Molecule: long non-coding RNA, 245 nt
Organism: Homo sapiens (human)
Lineage: Eukaryota; Metazoa; Chordata; Mammalia; Primates; Hominidae
Exons: 2
Source: RefSeq, a predicted model, not a curated record
CGAUUCUCCUGCCUCAGCCUCCUGAGUAGCUGGGAUUACAGGUAUUGAAACCUCCACAAAAACCCCAAAAGGACAAGGUUUGAGGAGCUUCCGGAGAGCUGAACACAUGGAGGUCCCUGGAGGGUGGCAUCCUGGGGGGACAUGGAAGCUCUCCACCCCUCCCCCGUCCUUUGCCCUGUGCAUCUCCCCUCAUCUGUAUCCUUUGCCAAAUCCUUUAUAAUAAACCGGUAAACGUGUUUCCAUGA